AUUGAACGCUGGCGGCAUGCUUUACACAUGCAAGUCGAACGGUAACAGGCCGCACGGUGCUGUCGAGUGGCGGACGCGUGCGUAAUGCAACCGAACGUGCCCCGUCGCUGGGGGUAACUACUCGAAAGAGUAGCCAAUACCGCAUACGGUCUAAGAAUGUAAGCGGGGGACCGUAAUAGCUCGAGCGAUUGGAGCGGCCGAUGUCAGAUUAGCUAGUUGGUGAGGUAAAGGCUCACCAAGCCAACGAUUUGUAGCGGGUCUGAGAGGACGACCAGCCACACUGGGACUGAGACACGGCCCAGACUCCUACGGGAGGCAGCAGUGGGGAAUUUUGGGCGAUGGGCGAAAGCCUGAUCCAGCAAUGCCGCGUGCAGGAUGAAGGUCUUCGGGUUGUAAACUGCUUUUGUACGGAACGAACCGACUUUGGUUAAUAUCCGCGGCUAUUGACGGUACCGUAAGAGUAAGCCCCGGCUAACUACGUG
RNAcentral lists this ribosomal RNA (482 nucleotides) under uncultured bacterium. RNAcentral describes it as "partial 16S ribosomal RNA". It matches the Rfam family "Bacterial small subunit ribosomal RNA", at positions 30 to 507 of the family's 1533-position model. The record is from RNAcentral.